UACGAAGGGGGCUAGCGUUGCUCGGAUUGACUGGGCGUAAAGGGCGCGUAGGCGGUUCGUACAGUCAGACGUGAAAUUCCUGGGCUCAACCUGGGGGCUGCGUUUGAUACGUGCGGACUUGAGUGCGGAAGAGGGUCGUGGAAUUCCCAGUGUAGAGGUGAAAUUCGUAGAUAUUGGGAAGGACACCGGUGGCGAAGGCGGCGCUCUGGACCGAGACUGACGCUGAGGCGCGAAAGCGUGGGGAGCAAACAGG
Molecule: ribosomal RNA, 253 nt
Filed under: uncultured bacterium
Lineage: Bacteria
Description: partial 16S ribosomal RNA
Rfam family: Bacterial small subunit ribosomal RNA
Source: RNAcentral